Molecule: ribosomal RNA, 468 nt
Filed under: uncultured bacterium
Lineage: Bacteria
Description: partial 16S ribosomal RNA
Rfam family: Bacterial small subunit ribosomal RNA
Source: RNAcentral
GACGAACGCUGGCGGCGUGCUUAACACAUGCAAGUCGAACGGAAAGGCCCUGCUUUUGUGGGGUGCUCGAGUGGCGAACGGGUGAGUAACACGUGAGUAACCUGCCCUUGACUUUGGGAUAACUUCAGGAAACUGGGGCUAAUACCGGAUAGGAGCUCCUGCUGCAUGGUGGGGGUUGGAAAGUUUCGGCGGUUGGGGAUGGACUCGCGGCUUAUCAGCUUGUUGGGGGGGUAGUGGCUUACCAAGGCUUUGACGGGUAGCCGGCCUGGGAGGGUGACCGGCCACAUUGGGACUGAGAUACGGACCAGACUCCUACGGGAGGCAGCAGUGGGGAAUAUUGCACAAUGGGCGGAAGCCUGAUGCAGCAACGCCGCGUGCGGGAUGACGGCCUUCGGGUUGUAAACCGCUUUCGCCUGUGACGAAGCGUGAGUGACGGUAAUGGGUAAAGAAGCACCGGCUAACUACGUG